This 676-nucleotide ribosomal RNA is filed under the name uncultured bacterium. RNAcentral describes it as "bacterial SSU rRNA". It matches the Rfam family "Bacterial small subunit ribosomal RNA", at positions 202 to 883 of the family's 1533-position model. The record is from RNAcentral.
AAAUUCCGAUGGUUAGAGAUGGGCAUGCGUUGUAUUAGCUAGUUGGUGAGGUAACGGCUCACCAAGGCUACGAUACAUAGGGGGACUGAGAGGUUUUCCCCCCACACUGGUACUGAGACACGGACCAGACUCCUACGGGAGGCAGCAGUGAGGAAUAUUGGUCAAUGGACGCAAGUCUGAACCAGCCAUGCCGCGUGCAGGAUGAAGGUGCUAUGCAUUGUAAACUGCUUUUGUACGAGGGUAAAUGCAGGUACGUGUACCUGUUUGAAAGUAUCGUACGAAUAAGGGUCGGCUAACUCCGUGCCAGCAGCCGCGGUAAUACGGAGGACCCGAGCGUUAUCCGGAUUUAUUGGGUUUAAAGGGUGCGUAGGCGGAUUAGUAAGUUAGAGGUGAAAGCUCGAUGCUCAACAUCGAAAUUGCCUCUGAUACUGUUAGUCUAGAGUAUAGUUGCGGAAGGCGGAAUGUGUGGUGUAGCGGUGAAAUGCUUAGAUAUCACACAGAACACCGAUUGCGAAGGCAGCUUUCCAAGCUAUUACUGACGCUGAUGCACGAAAGCGUGGGGAGCGAACAGGAUUAGAUACCCUGGUAGUCCACGCCGUAAACGAUGAUAACUCGUUGCAGGCGAUACACAGUCUGUGACUUAGCGAAAGCGUUAAGUUAUCCACCUGGGGAGUAC